ACGCGUGCUAAUACAUGCAGUCGAGCGAAUGAUAGAGCUUGCUCUUAUGAAGUUAGCGGCGGACGGGUGAGUAACACGUGGGUAACCUGCCCAUAAGACUGGGAUAACUCCGGGAAAACCGGGGCUAAUACCGGAUAAACAUUUUGAACCGCAUGGUCGAAAUUGAAAGGCGGCUUCGGCUGUCAACUUAUGGAUGGACCCGCGUCGCAUCUAGCUAGUUGGUGAGGUAACGGCUCACCAAGGCAACGAUGCGUAGCCGACCUGAGAGGGUGAUCGGCCACACUGGGACUGAGACACGGCCCAGACUCCUACGGGAGGCAGCAGUAGGGAAUCUNCCGCAAUUGGACGAAAGUCUGACGGAGCAACGCCGCGUGAGUGAUGAAGGCUUC
Molecule: ribosomal RNA, 389 nt
Filed under: uncultured bacterium
Lineage: Bacteria
Description: bacterial SSU rRNA
Rfam family: Bacterial small subunit ribosomal RNA
Source: RNAcentral